This 289-nucleotide long non-coding RNA is filed under the name Anser brachyrhynchus (Pink-footed goose). RNAcentral's name for it is "lncRNA (ENSABRG00000021970.1)". Lineage: Eukaryota; Metazoa; Chordata; Aves; Anseriformes; Anatidae. The record is from RNAcentral.
GGCAGAUGAAAAAACAGAAUGGCAGAGAGAAAGGUGAAGGGAUAAAGUUCUUUCCAACACUGCGAUCGCAUGGUGCUACAGUGAAUAAGGGGCUCAUGUGGAGAGAAGGAGAGCUUUUCUGGAUUUUGAAGAACUACAUUCCCCAAGAUGAAUAUCAGACCACACGCAAUUCCAUGGAACAAAAUUUUAUCAUAAAGGGAACACAGGCUCUUGUGAAAUCAGCUAAAAUCUUGUGGAGUUUUAAAUUGCUGAAAACAAAACUUAAGGCAGCAAGUUAAGGACUGCGAGG